GACCGGGCCUAAGUUCCCUG
RNAcentral lists this small nuclear RNA (20 nucleotides) under Arabidopsis thaliana (thale cress). RNAcentral's name for it is "snRNA_03751". Lineage: Eukaryota; Viridiplantae; Streptophyta; Magnoliopsida; Brassicales; Brassicaceae. The record is from RNAcentral.